Molecule: ribosomal RNA, 423 nt
Filed under: Triticum aestivum (bread wheat)
Lineage: Eukaryota; Viridiplantae; Streptophyta; Magnoliopsida; Poales; Poaceae
Description: partial small subunit ribosomal RNA
Source: RNAcentral
AUGGAUUCUCUUCCGACUGCCUCCACCCCCCGUGAUGCGGACGAUGCUGAGGUGGGAUCCCAGGAAGGGACCCACCAGGAGGAGAGGGCCCCGGAGGUGUCGCAGGACAACCUCCAGGACUUUGCACCGGACUCAGCCCCGGAAUCCAUAUUGGCUCCGGAGUCCAGCGGGCGACCCCUUCAUAAGAAGGGCAAGACCGCGACGCCGGCUGCCUCCGUCCAACCGGAGGUGCCGGAUAAUUUGCUGGAGGCGCUCAACGGCGCCUCCAUCAAAGAGGAACAUCACACUGUUAUGAGUGCGGUGAUUCAGAAGGUUUGGCUCGCCAAGAGCGGGCUGGCCGAAGCCUGCAGCAGCCUUCUAACAGGCUUUGAGGUAAGAAUUUCAAUAUAUGUAAAAUGGUACCGCAUAGACAGUAACCCCUGA